Long non-coding RNA from Solea senegalensis (Senegalese sole), 294 nucleotides. RefSeq lists it as uncharacterized. The transcript has 3 exons. NCBI's taxonomy places the organism in Eukaryota, Metazoa, Chordata, Actinopteri, Pleuronectiformes, Soleidae. The record is from RefSeq and is a predicted model, not a curated record.
CAUUCAGACACACAUUCGGACACACUUGUGCAGGACUCACAAUAGGACAGACAGACAUUGUGGUGUAGUGUGUUAUCGUUUCCAUUUAGACGUCACUACACUGAGGUCUGGACUCUUCACACUGAGGUCUGGGCUCUUACAUUGAGGUCUAGACUCUUCACACUGAGGUCUGGACUCUUCACACUGAGGUCUGGACUCUUCACACACUGGAGUCUGGACUCUUCACACUGAGGUCUGGACUCUUCACACACUGAGGUCUGGACUCUUCACACUGAGGUCUGGACUCUUCACACU